This is a long non-coding RNA of Ochotona princeps (American pika), 279 nucleotides long. RefSeq lists it as uncharacterized. The transcript has 3 exons. Lineage: Eukaryota; Metazoa; Chordata; Mammalia; Lagomorpha; Ochotonidae. The record is from RefSeq and is a predicted model, not a curated record.
CUGGGCCAUGAUUCUCCGCCUGGGGCAUCACCUCCUUCAGAUAAAACUGGAUCAUCUCUGACAAGGCUUGGCAUCCCAGAUAAAGGAACUAAAUGUUCGACAGGUUUAGCAGUUUGUCCAAGGUCAUACAGCCCAUCCAUGAUGGAGUUGGGGUUAAAAUCCAGGUCAACAGUCAUGGUUCAAUGACAGCAAAUGCCAUCGACACAACAUGGAGGAGACGUGAUGCUUGCAAACGUUCCUGGCCAGACAUCCUUCAAUGAGUGACCCAGGGAGCGAAUC